Molecule: ribosomal RNA, 497 nt
Filed under: uncultured bacterium
Lineage: Bacteria
Description: partial 16S ribosomal RNA
Rfam family: Bacterial small subunit ribosomal RNA
Source: RNAcentral
GAUGAACGCUGGCGGCGUGCCUAAUACAUGCAAGUCGAGCGAACAGACGAGGAGCUUGCUUCUCUGACGUUAGCGGCGGACGGGUGAGUAACACGUGGAUAACCUACCUAUAAGACGGGGAUAACUUCGGGAAACCGGAGCUAAUACCGGAUAAUAUAUUGAACCGCAUGGUUCAAUAGUGAAAGACGGUUUUGCGGUCACGUAUAGAUGGAUCCGCGCCGCAUUAGCUAGUUGGUAAGGUAACGGCUUACCAAGGCAACGAUGCGUAGCCGACCUGAGAGGGUGAUCGGCCACACUGGAACUGAGACACGGUCCAGACUCCUACGGGAGGCAGCAGUAGGGAAUCUUCCGCAAUGGGCGAAAGCCUGACGGAGCAACGCCGCGUGAGUGAUGAAGGUCUUCGGAUCGUAAAACUCUGUUAUUAGGGAAGAACAAAUGUGUAAGUAACUAUGCACGUCUUGACGGUACCUAAUCAGAAAGCCACGGCUAACUACGUG